GGGGCCUUAGCUCAGCUGGCUAGAGCGCCGCCCUUGCAAGGCGGAGGUCAAGGAUUCGAAUUCCUUAGGCUCCA
Molecule: transfer RNA, 74 nt
Filed under: Lentisphaera profundi
Lineage: Bacteria; Pseudomonadati; Lentisphaerota; Lentisphaeria; Lentisphaerales; Lentisphaeraceae
Description: tRNA-Ala
Rfam family: tRNA
About the family: Transfer RNA (tRNA) molecules are approximately 80 nucleotides in length.
Source: RNAcentral